CUGGCGGCGUGCUUACACAUGCAAGUCGAACGGAGGACUAAGAGGAAGCUUGCGAAUCCUAGUCCUUAGUGGCGGACGGGUGAGUAACACGUGGAUAACCUGCCUGUAAGACCGGGACAACACCUGGAAACGGGUGCUAAUACCGGGUAAGCUCUUUUUGCCGCAUGGUGAGAAGAGGAGAGGGGAAACCCGCUUACAGAUGGAUCCGCGGCCCAUUAGCUAGUUGGCGGUGUAACGGACCACCAAGGCGACGAUGGGUAGCCGGCCUGAGAGRGUGWUUCGGCCACACUGGAACUGARACACGGUCCAGAACUCCUACGGGAGGCAGCAGUGGGGAAUCUUCCGCAAUGGGCGAAAGCCUGACGGAGCAACGCCGCGUGGAAWGAUYGAAAGKGCCCUUUUCGGGUUBGUAAAAAAUUUCUGGUUCUUUCAGGGGAAGAAAAAAAAAAUGGAACGGGUACCCUGGAAGGAGGAAAGCCCCGGCUAACUUACGUGSCAGCAGCCGCGGUAAUACGUAGGGGGGCGAGCGUUUGUCCGGAAUUACUGGGCGUAAAGGGCGCGUAGGCGGUUUUAUUUAAGUCAGAAGGUGAAAAGCUCCCCGGCUCAACCGGGGGGACUGCCUUUGAAACUGGAAGACUUGAGGGCAGG
This 648-nucleotide ribosomal RNA is filed under the name uncultured bacterium. RNAcentral's name for it is "partial 16S ribosomal RNA". It matches the Rfam family "Bacterial small subunit ribosomal RNA", at positions 36 to 652 of the family's 1533-position model. The record is from RNAcentral.